GGACCCUUUUACCUCAUUUUGGGACCCUUUUACCUCAUUUUGGGACCCUUUUACCUCAUUUUGGGACCCUUUUACCUCAUUAAGCCCCCCUCACCUCACACCGGGACCCCCUCUCCCACAUUUUAGGACCCCCCGGCACCGUUUCAGCCCCCCUUUUCCUCGCACCGGGGGCCUUUUCCACACUUAACCCCCCCUUUCCCUCGCACCGGGUCCCCGUUUCCCCCCUUUUACCCCCCCCUCACCUCGGCGCUGCCCCGUCCCCCGCCGGCCGCUUCCCGCCCUUUGCCCGGGGAGGCGGGAAGGGACCGGGGGGGGUGGGGGCGGGGCCGCCGGUACCGGAGGAAGAAGGGGAGGGGAGAGGGGGGGAGCCGCGGUGCCACGGGGGUGUGUUGGGGGGGGAGGGGGGGGGAGGAGGCUCCUCCCGCUCCGCCGCCGCCGGCCUCGGCCUCAGCCCCGCCGCGGAUCCGCCGCCAUCCGCCGCAAAAUGGCGGCCGGCUCCCGCCCCGCCGCUCUCCCUUCCCCAACCCCCCCUCCCCCCACCCACCACCUCCCUCCCCUCUGCCCGCCGCCGGCCUCCGGCCCGUGCCCGCCCCCGCCGCCGCCGCCGCCGCCCGGGCCCCCCCCCGUAGAGGGGCUCACGGGAAAUGGAGUCCGCGGCGCCCGAGCCAGCGGCAAAAUGGCGGCGGCCACCGCCGCCGCGCCGCGCUCCCGCGAGAAGGGGGCGGGGCCUGCGGCUCUCGCGAGACUUCGCGCGGGGGGAGACGCGGCGGGGAGGGGAGGUCUCGCGAGGGUUGGGGAGCGCGGGAGGCGGGAGCGGGGGGGGGGAGGAAGAUGGCGGGAGGCGCGUGGCGCGCGGGAACGCCCCCUGGGCGGCGCCUGCGCGGGAGUUGGGGCAGGGUCUCGCGAGAGGUGGGCGAGGGGGGUGAUGGGAAAUGAAGUCCGGCGGGGAGGUGGAGGACUCUGGAUGGGCCAUGGGGGGGCAGCCCCGGGGCAUGAUGGGACGGCGGCCAUCUUGGAUUAGGGCGAGAGGCUCAUGGGGUGGCGGCCAUCUUGGGUCAGCCUCGGGGGAGUCAUGGGAAGGCGGCCAUAUUGGGUAUGGGCAAGAGGCUCAUAUGGGAUGGCAGCCGUCUUGGGUCACGCCUAGAGGAUCAUGGGAUGGUGGCCAUAUUGCAUUAGGGCAAGAGGCUCAUCGGAUGGUCGCCAUGUUGGGUCAGCCCCAGGGGCUGAUGGGAUGGCAGCCAUCUUGGAUUAGGGCUAGAGGCUCAUGGGAUGGCAGCCAUAUUGGGUCAGCCGCAGGGGAUCAUGGGGUGGCAGCCAUAUUGGGUAUGGGCAAGAGGCUCAUGGGAUGGCAGCCAUAUUGGGUCAGGCCUGGAGGAUCACGGGAUGGUGGCCAUCUUGGGUUAGGGCCAAAGGCUCAUGGGACGUCAGCCAUCUUGGGUCAGCCCCAGGGGCUGAUGGAAUGGCAGCCAUCUUGGAUUAGGGCUAGAGCCUGAGGAGGGGGCUGCAAUGUUGGAGCAGACCUGGGGGAUCAUGGGAAGGCAGCCAUGUUGGGUGAGAGCUUGAGGCUCAUGGGAAGGCAGGCAUGUUGGGUCAGGGCUAGAGGCUUAUGGGAUAGCGGCCAUGUUGGGUCAGCCCAGGGAGGGUCAUAGGAGGGCAGCCAUAUUGGGCCAGUCCCAGGGGCUCCUGGGAGGUCCCAACCCCCCCUAAACACCCCCAUUUUGGGGGUCCCCAGCCCCCAUCACCCCCAUUUUUUUGGGGGGUGAUGCUAUGGGGCACUGCCCCAUAACCCCAAAGCCCCCCCAUAGGACCAUAUGAUCCCCCCAGUCCCCUAUAGUCCCCCAAGCCCCUAUGGGACCCCCCAAACUUUAGGGGAGCCCCCCCAGGCACCAACCAAUGGGGUCACAGGAGGGGGGUGGGGAUGUGACAGCUCCAUGGCAACAGCCCCCACCCCUAUGGGACUGCCCCUACAGCUACCCCCAUACCCUAGGGGUCCCUUUAGCUGCCCCUAUAGACCCCCUGUACCCCACGUGUUCCCUAUAGCCCCUGUAGGCCGUGUCCCCUACAGUCCCCAUGACCCCAUGGGCCCCCUAUAGCCCCCCCAUACCACCUCGUGGUCCCUGCAUCCCCCCCACCCCCACAAAACCCCUCAGGCCCUAUAGCACCCAUGCACCCCUAUAGCUCUCAUAUCCCCUAUAGCCAAUGUAACCCCUAUAGCCCCAAUGUGACCCUAUAGACUGUGACCCCUAUAGACCCCUCAAAAUUCCCCUAUAAGCCAUGUGACCCCUGUAGACCCAUGACCCCUAUAGCCUCCCAAAUCCCCUACAGCCCACGUGACCCCUAUAGCCCCCCCAAAUCCUCUAUAGUCACCCAUAUCUAAAAUAGCCCAUAUGAUCCCUAUAGCCCCCCCAAUCCUCUAUAGCUCCCCAAAUCCCUUAUAGCCAGCAUCACCCCUAUAGCUCCCCCAAUCCUCUAUAGGCCCCCACAUGACCCCUA
Molecule: long non-coding RNA, 2493 nt
Organism: Anser brachyrhynchus (Pink-footed goose)
Lineage: Eukaryota; Metazoa; Chordata; Aves; Anseriformes; Anatidae
Source: Ensembl